UACGGAGGGUGCAAGCGUUAUCCGGAUUCACUGGGUUUAAAGGGUGCGUAGGUGGGCAGUUAAGUCAGUGGUGAAAUCUCCGAGCUUAGCUCGGAAACUGCCAUUGAUACUAUCUGUCUUGAAUAUCGUGGAGGUAAGCGGAAUAUGUCAUGUAGCGGUGAAAUGCUUAGAUAUGACAUAGAACACCAAUUGCGAAGGCAGCUUACUACCCGAAUAUUGACACUGAGGCACGAAAGCGUGGGGAUCAAACAGG
This 253-nucleotide ribosomal RNA is filed under the name uncultured bacterium. RNAcentral describes it as "partial 16S ribosomal RNA". It matches the Rfam family "Bacterial small subunit ribosomal RNA", at positions 524 to 776 of the family's 1533-position model. The record is from RNAcentral.